Molecule: long non-coding RNA, 883 nt
Filed under: Apteryx owenii (little spotted kiwi)
Lineage: Eukaryota; Metazoa; Chordata; Aves; Apterygiformes; Apterygidae
Description: lncRNA (ENSAOWG00000016962.1)
Source: RNAcentral
AUUCAGAACUCGCUGAAGCUCUGGUGCAGUGAUGCAGCCUGGCCCCGUUGUGGUAUUUCCACCGGUUCCCACAGGACUUGGGGUUUGCAGUGGGCUUGAUAUUUUGGUCCCUUGGGGCCUUCCUGCUCUUCUCUCAAAAUCUGCAGACACAAGACUGCCUGCUCUGCCUUGAGAGUUGCUACUGCCAGUGGUGCUGUCUUUGCCCUCCUGAAACCUCUGGGGAUAGAGUUGCUGUGCUGGCUCUCUGCGCUCGGAAAACUCAUGGGGUGGAUUCCCAUUAAAACUCAUUAAUGGACUCCCAUUAAAACUUCUGCUGCUAGCGUGGGCUUCCUUAUCAGAAAAUGUGAAACUGGGCAAAGGCAUGCCAUAUAAUCUCCUAGGAGGUAGCCAGUGACUACAACCUGUUUUCUAAAGCAAUGCCUCCUGGACCGGUUGUGAUCAUCUCUCAGGGUGGCAUCUUAUUUGUGCAUGCCUGAGCCUUGGUGUCUGCCAGACACACUAAAUGUGGUUAACUGCAAAGAAACUCACUGUUCUCUCACAUUUACCGUUUAUCACAAGGCCAGCAAGGUGAACUAUCUACAGGAGCUGCACGGGGACAAGUUUAGUGCCCAACAUCUUCAGAAUAACAGUACUGGAAGCAGCUGAAGGCAGGAGAAUUAACAAGUGGUGGGAGACGUAAGACCACUGUACAAGCCCCUGAGGCAGGACAGGUGGGACUGGAGGCAGGAUUCUAUGGCCAGGGAAAGAGGAUGUCACAAAAUGGACGGGAGCCCCACCAAGAGGGACAGAGUUUCUUAAGCUGGAGCACAUGGCUGGUGACUGUCCUGACGGAAGAGUUAGCUGAGUCCUUGUUGAAAGUGCUGGUGAUAUCAGGAAGUCCUGG